AGUGAACGCUGGCGGUAGGCCUAACACAUGCAAGUCGAACGGCAGCACAGUAAGAGCUUGCUCUUACGGGUGGCGAGUGGCGGACGGGUGAGGAAUACAUCGGAAUCUACUUUUUCGUGGGGGAUAACGUAGGGAAACUUACGCUAAUACCGCAUACGACCUACGGGUGAAAGCAGGGGAUCUUCGGACCUUGCGCGAUUGAAUGAGCCGAUGUCGGAUUAGCUAGUUGGCGGGUUAAAGGCCCACCAAGGCGACGAUCCGUAGCUGGUCUGAGAGGAUGGUCAGCCACACUGGAACGGAGACACGGUCCAGACUCCUACGGGAGGCAGCAGUGGGGAAUAUUGGACAAUGGGCGCAAGCCUGAUCCAGCCAUACCGCGUGGGUGAAGAAGGCCUUCGGGUUGUAAAGCCCUUUUGUUGGGAAAGAAAAGCAGCAGGUUAAUACCCAGCUGUUCUGACGGUAACCAAAGAAUAAGCACCGGCUAACUUCGUG
Molecule: ribosomal RNA, 492 nt
Filed under: uncultured bacterium
Lineage: Bacteria
Description: partial 16S ribosomal RNA
Rfam family: Bacterial small subunit ribosomal RNA
Source: RNAcentral